Neopelma chrysocephalum (saffron-crested tyrant-manakin) is the source of this 1398-nucleotide long non-coding RNA. RefSeq lists it as uncharacterized. Lineage: Eukaryota; Metazoa; Chordata; Aves; Passeriformes; Pipridae. The record is from RefSeq and is a predicted model, not a curated record. The transcript has 3 exons.
AUUCAGUGUCACUGGCAAACUUAAUUGGUAUUCCUUCAAGUCCUGCAGCCAAGUUGUUAAUGAAUAUAGUAAAGAGAACUGGGCCUAAGAUGGAGGCCUGUGGAACCCCACUAGUGACAGGUCACCAGUAUGAUGUCACCCCAUUCACUGUGACCCUCUGUGUUCCACCCAUGAUCCAAUUGCUCACAUACACAUCCUGUCCCUAUCCAGCUGUGUGCUGGACAUUUUGUCCAGAAGGAUCCUGUGAGAGACAGUAUCGAAAGCUUUACUGAAAUCCAAAAAGAUUACAUCAACUGGCUUCUCUUGAUCGACUGUGUGGGUUACCUUGUCAUAAAGUAAAUCAGGUUGGAUAAGGAGUCUCCUCUCCUGAAGCUGUGCUGGCUCUGACCAAUGCCUGCAUUGUCCUUCAGAGACCAGUGGUGUCUCCACACAUAAGCUGCUGCUGGUGUCUGUUUGGAGUAGUUUCACUGAAGUUUUACACAGCAUUACAGAGAUAAUGGGUCCCCAUGCUGCUGCUUCAGUUGAGAUGGAUGCAGAGAUAAAGCUCCUGAUUGUGUCAUACUCUGUCCAUGCAGCUGCUUGGGCUUUUACUGCCUGAAUUUACUGCCUGUUUACAAACCAGAACUAACCUAAAUUCACAAAAUCUGACUGACUGACUGACUUGGAAGGUCAUCUCACCUUCCAAGAUGCCUGAGUGUCCUUGAACUGUGUCUCUUGAAAGAUACAAAUAUAAUUUAUCAGAGUUGAGACCGACUAGGCAGUCAAGUCUCACAAGGAAUAAGGCUGAUUCUUUCUGAAGAAAGAAAUCACAGCUAUGCACAAAAUUUAAAGCAAAGUUAGCUUUGACAGCAGCAUCCCUACUUCAAGAAUCAAGUUCACUACAGCUUAAAAUACUGUGCAACCCUAUUGAGUUGCUCAUCAUUCAAGUACAUGGGGCUUUUGGGGUAACAUUACAAGUGCCAGGUUACCACUGGGAAGUGACACUGUAUAUAUGAGUCACACUUUGUUUUGGAACUUCACAGCAGCAGUAAAUCAGAGGGACAUCUCCUCUUCCUCAAUACAAGAAACAGAGUUUUGUAUCACCAUCUUGUCAGCAAGGCAAAAACUUUGAUGAGGGAAAGAAUCUCCAAGACCUUUGGGAAGUUUGAAAUAACUUGAAAAGGUUCAUGCUGCCUAAUCACCAAGUGUUUAAAAAAGAUCAAAGCAAAAAGCCAACCACAGGUUCAGGUUAAUGCUUUUUAGAUUAAACUACUAAACACACAGAGAAGGGAUUAUUAAAAAAAAAAAUUCUCAUUUUACAUCAUGAACUAAUAAAGCUGCUUUGAAGUUCUGAUCACCAAAAAACUCACAGCAUUUAACAAGUUGCUAAAACACAAAUACCCAGCUGGUGUCAUAAAA